CCUACGGGAGGCAGCAGUGAGGAAUAUUGGUCAAUGGACGAGAGUCUGAACCAGCCAAGUAGCGUGAAGGAUGACUGCCCUAUGGGUUGUAAACUUCUUUUAUAUGGGAAUAAAACGUUCCACGUGUGGGAUUUUGUAUGUACCAUAUGAAUAAGGAUCGGAUAACUCCGCGCCAGCAGCCGCGGUAAUACGGAGGAUCCGAGCGUUAUCCGGAUUUAUUGGGUUUAAAGGGAGCGUAGGUGGAUUGUUAAGUCAGUUGUGAAAGUUUGCGGCUCAACCGUAAAAUUGCAGUUGAAACUGGCAGUCUUGAGUACAGUAGAGGUGGGCGGAAUUCGUGGUGUAGCGGUGAAAUGCUUAGAUAUCACGAAGAACACCGAUUGCGAAGGCAGUUCACUGGACUGCAACUGACACUGAGGCUCGAAAGUGUGGGUAUCAAACAGGAUUAGAUACCCCAGUAGUC
RNAcentral lists this ribosomal RNA (460 nucleotides) under uncultured bacterium. RNAcentral describes it as "partial 16S ribosomal RNA". It matches the Rfam family "Bacterial small subunit ribosomal RNA", at positions 338 to 795 of the family's 1533-position model. The record is from RNAcentral.